GGUAAUGCCAUUCUAACUUGGUAUCAAUAAAUCUAUAAAAAGGAAGUGAUCUCUUGUUUAUUCACAGAGAUAGUAUUCGGCAAGUUUAAUUUUGAUGGCUAAUUUGGUUCUUGAUUUUCUCUGCCUUCUAUAUCUGUUAUCUUCUUUUACUUUCUCACUGUUCAGCUACCAGAUUUGGUACCAUAAUAGGUAGAAGCCUCUCUAUCAUCAAAGCACUGAUUAAUCUUUCAGGAUGCUAGCACUAUACAAAUGCAGUUAUUUGCUUGCAUGAUAUUGGCCAGCAUGGACCACAAGUAAAUGUUCCUCUACUUUUGCAGACUAGUGUUUUGGAACUUGCUGAGGAACACCAAAUCCCAUGCUAAUAUCUCUCUAUUUUUGUAUCUUCUAUAUUGUAAAUAUCGCCCUAUAAUUGUAAUGCUAAGUCUAGUUGCUUUGGAAAGUGAAUGAAGUGCAAGGUUUUAAGUGCCGCCCCGUGCCGUACGCCCCGUGCCGUACGGCACGGGGCGUGCCGUACCGUGCCCCCAAGAAGGGAGCACGGUACAGGGGGGGUAUGGCACCCCCCCUGCGUCUCGCGGCAUGUUGUUGCGUGCCCCACGAGACAAAGCGGCACGCACCAACGUGCCGCCGGCACGUACCGGCGUGCCGCCGGUUUUUUUUAAUUUUUUUGGCUGUUUGGCUUUUUUUUUUUUGUUCUUUGGGAUACAGACCCCCCCCCCCCCCAGGCCAUCUAUAUUGUAUUUUUUUCAUUUUCUCUUAUUUUUUUGACAUCGUGAUUGCUUUUUGUCAACUCUUUUUUUUUUCUUCCUUUUGGCUUUUUUUUGGCCUUUUCUUUAUUAAAUUAAAAACUUAUAAUUUAACUUCUUAUUAUCUGAUCCAUACCGCCGGGGGUAAAGGCUUCGCCCCCCGCACCCCCCUCGGAUGUCUGUGGUGGAAGCGGAGGGCUCGGGCACCGUGAAACUUUUGGUGAAUCAGGGAAACAAAAAUUGAUUUUCUAAACAAAUUUUGAUCAUAUAUUUUUUUAAAGAAAAAAAAAAAAUGUAAUUGUGGUAUUAUUCUGGUUGUUCUAGUCAUUAUAUACUUCAUAAUCGAAUCAAUAUAUAGAAACAAAAGAAUAGUUGUACUUUUCAAAUAAAAAUAAAAGAAUUUUAAUUUCUAUUCUACAUCAGGUAUAGUUGUACUUUAUAUACAAAAUGAUUACAUGUAUGUUAAUUGAUGAAUAUAGUAAGCUAUACAUAGCAAAUAUUAAUAAUUAUUUGUCUAAAUCUUUUAAAAUAACAUUAUAAAAACUUAUUGGAACAAAAAAAACUUAAAUAAGUCCGUGCCAAAGCGUGCCAGUAGGAGGUCAUGCGUAUCCAUCGGCACGCGCAUGUACCACGUGUCGGCACGGAAGCGUGCCCGUGCCGUACCGUGCCAGAGAAAGAGCGGCACGCUCCCGUGCCACAGCACUUUAAACCUUGAUGAAGAGUACCAAAUCCAGUGCAAGAUCUGUAUCUUUUAUAUUGCCUGCCUUUAUAGAUUUACUGCUGUAUAAUCUGGAUCUUUCACAAAUCCACUUAAAUAGGGUAUAAAAUGCCUAGAUGGCUGAAUUGUCAAAAUAUUUUCUGCAAAGUAAGUGGUUGCAAUAAUUUAUGUUAUGUUCUAUGUCACACGCCUGUCCAAGUCUGAUGUACAUUGGAUGUAGGAUGCGCAGCCGAUGCGCUUCUGCUGCACGUCCCGAUAAAUUUUAAAAAAUAAAGAUGCAGCGGGGACUCGUGUGGUGCCAGCAAUGAUGAUGAUUUCAGAGAGAGAGAGGGAGGGAGGGAGGGAGACCGAGGCGAUACAGAAGCUCGGGUCAAAGUCACUUAGCUCUUUGGACUGAAAAAUUGAAAGACAGGUGAACCAGAAAAGAUAUUAAAAAAUCAAACCAGUCUGAUACAGUUUAACCAGUUGUUUGAAUAAUUAAAAAUUGUAGCCAAACAGGAAAUUCUUUAUUCUAGAAUCUUUGAACCCAAACCAAAUCGGUUUUGCAAAAAAAGUUUUUUAUUUGGUUAAAGUCUAUUUAUUAUCUUUAAAAUAUUAAUAUAAAUAAUAUACAUAUUACUAUAGUAAAAUUAAUAUUUUAUUAAUUCU
Molecule: long non-coding RNA, 2109 nt
Filed under: Ananas comosus (pineapple)
Lineage: Eukaryota; Viridiplantae; Streptophyta; Magnoliopsida; Poales; Bromeliaceae
Description: long non-coding RNA (ACOM_LNC023933)
Source: RNAcentral